This 301-nucleotide ribosomal RNA is filed under the name uncultured bacterium. Its description in RNAcentral is "partial 16S ribosomal RNA". It matches the Rfam family "Bacterial small subunit ribosomal RNA", at positions 509 to 807 of the family's 1533-position model. The record is from RNAcentral.
CAGUCGCCACGGUAAUACGUAGGUGGCAAGCGUUGUCCGGAAUUAUUGGGCGUAAAGGGCUCGCAGGCGGUUUCUUAAGUCUGAUGUGAAAGCCCCCGGCUCAACCGGGGAGGGUCAUUGGAAACUGGGAAACUUGAGUGCAGAAGAGGAGAGUGGAAUUCCACGUGUAGCGGUGAAAUGCGUAGAGAUGUGGAGGAACACCAGUGGCGAAGGCGCCUCUCUGGUCUGUAACUGACGCUGAGGAGCGAAAGCGUGGGGAGCGAACAGGAUUAGAUACCCCCGUAGUCCCUGUCUCUUAUAC